GAUGAACGCUGGCGGCGUGCUUAACACAUGCAAGUCGAACGAUGAACCCCACCUGUGGGGGGGUUCGCGGCGAACGGGCGGGUAAGACGCGCGUAACCAGCCCUUGCCUGUGGGAGAAGUAUGUGAAACCGGGUCUAAUACUGGCCACGAAGGUCAUCCGCAUGCCAUGUUGGGGGAAGGCUUUUUUGGUGUUCGGUGGUCUAGCGGCCUAUCAGCAUGUUGGUGGUGGAAUGGCCUAUUAAGGCGACGCCGGGUAGCCGGCCGGAGGGGGUGACCGGCCACACUGGGACUGAUACGCGGCCCAGACUCCUACGGGAGGCAGCGGUGGGGAAUAUUGCACAAUGGGCGCAAGCCUGAUGCAGCGACGCCGCGUGAGGGAUGAAGGCCUACGGGUUGUAACCCUCUUUCAGUAGGGAAGAAGCCGGCUGUUGGGUUGGUGACGGUACCUGCAGAAGAAGCGCCGGCUAACUACGUG
Molecule: ribosomal RNA, 475 nt
Filed under: uncultured bacterium
Lineage: Bacteria
Description: partial 16S ribosomal RNA
Rfam family: Bacterial small subunit ribosomal RNA
Source: RNAcentral